AAGUCGUAACAAGGUUUUCAUGAAAUACCAUACUGAAGCCUUGAUCCCAGUCUAUUAUAUAGGCAACACCUUUAAUGUGCUUGGAUACCUAAAGGUAACAAGCAGCUGCUAACUGCAGUUCACAGAUCAAACAAAGGUGGUCCUUAGUGCUAUUGCAUGCUUAGCUGUAGCCAUAGGAUUUAGAUAUGACCGGCCUACUCUUGUAAAAACUAGUAGAGUUUGCGUUCCGUAGGUGAACCUGCGGAAGGAUCAUUACAGAGAACAUGCCCUUUAAGGUAUAUCUCCCACCCUUUGUCUAUAAUAUCUUUGUUGCCUUGGCAGGCCUGUUUUACAACUACUGGCCUUGGCUGGUUAGUGCCUGCCAGAGGACCCAUUAAUUCUUUUAUAUUGCUGUCUGAGUAUGAUAUAAUAUUUAAAACUUUCAACAACGGAUCUCUUGGUUCUGGCAUCGAUGAAGAACGCAGCGAAAUGCGAUAAGUAAUGUGAAUUGCAGAAUUCAGUGAAUCAUCGAAUCUUUGAACGCACAUUGCACCCCCUGGUAUUCUAGGGGGUAUGCCUGUUCGAGCGUCAUUACAACCCUCAAGCACUGCUUGGUAUUGGAUGUCACCAUUGUGGUGUAUCUCAAAAGUAUUAGCAGUAACACUCAGCUUCUAGUGUAGUAAAUUUCUCGCUUUGGGGCUAAGUGUCUAAUUGUUAGAACUCCUAAUUUAUCAAAGGUGACCUCGGAUCAGUAGGNAUACCCGCUGANCUUANGCAUAUCAUANGCGNAGGAAAAGAANCANCAGGGAUUGCCUUAGUANCGGCGAGUGAGCGGCAAUAGCUCAAAUUUGAAAUCUGACCUCAUGGUCUGAGUUGUAAUUUGUAGAGGAUGCUUCGAGCAUGGUCUGGUCUAAGUUCCUUGGAACAGGACAUCAUAGAGGGUGAGAAUCCCGUAUGUGACUGGGUGCCUAAGCUCAUGUGAAGCUCCUUCGACGAGUCGAGUUGUUUGGGAAUGCAGCUCAAAAUGGGUGGUAAAUUUCAUCUAAAGCUAAAUACUGGCCAGAGACCGAUAGCGCACAAGUAGAGUGAUCGAAAGAUGAAAAGCACUUUGGAAAGAGAGUCAAACAGUACGUGAAAUUGUUGAAAGGGAAGCGCUUGCAACCAGACUUGCAUGCAGUCGAUCAUCUGGUGUUUUCACUGGUGCACUCAAUUGUAUUCAGGCCAGCAUUGGUUUUGGUGGCUGGAUAAAGACCUUGGGAAUGUAGCUUCUUUUGGGGAGUGUUAUAGCCCUUGGUGUAAUGUGGCCUACCAGGACCGAGGACCGCGCUUUGGCUAGGAUGCUGGCGUAAUGGUUGUAAGCGACCCGUCUUGAAACACGGACC
Molecule: ribosomal RNA, 1361 nt
Filed under: uncultured fungus
Lineage: Eukaryota; Fungi
Description: eukaryotic LSU rRNA
Rfam family: Eukaryotic large subunit ribosomal RNA (bases 718-1361)
Source: RNAcentral